CGGGUGAGUAACACGUGGAUAACCUACCUAUAAGACUGGGAUAACUUCGGGAAACCGGAGCUAAUGCCGGAUAAUAUAUUGAACCGCAUGGUUCAAUAGUGAAAGACGGUUUUGCUGUCACUUAUAGAUGGAUCCGCGCCGCAUUAGCUAGUUGGUAAGGUAACGGCUUACCAAGGCAGCGAUGCGUAGCCGACCCGAGAGGGUGAUCGGCCACACUGGAACUGAGACACGGUCCAGACUCCUACGGGAGGCAGCAGUG
RNAcentral lists this ribosomal RNA (259 nucleotides) under uncultured Staphylococcus sp. Its description in RNAcentral is "partial 16S ribosomal RNA". It matches the Rfam family "Bacterial small subunit ribosomal RNA", at positions 103 to 356 of the family's 1533-position model. Lineage: Bacteria; Bacillati; Bacillota; Bacilli; Caryophanales; Staphylococcaceae. The record is from RNAcentral.